Molecule: ribosomal RNA, 405 nt
Filed under: uncultured bacterium
Lineage: Bacteria
Description: bacterial SSU rRNA
Rfam family: Bacterial small subunit ribosomal RNA
Source: RNAcentral
AGUGGCGAACGGGUGAGUAAUAACAUCGGAACGUACCCCUGUUGUGGGGGAUAACUAGUCGAAAGAUUAGCUAAUACCGCAUACGACCUGAGGGUGAAAGUGGGGGACCGCAAGGCCUCACGCAGCAGGAGCGGCCGAUGUCUGAUUAGCUAGUUGGUGGGGUAAAGGCCCACCAAGGCGACGAUCAGUAGCUGGUCUGAGAGGACGAUCAGCCACACUGGGACUGAGACACGGCCCAGACUCCUACGGGAGGCAGCAGUGGGGAAUUUUGGACAAUGGGGGCAACCCUGAUCCAGCAAUGCCGCGUGUGUGAAGAAGGCCUUCGGGUUGUAAAGCACUUUUGUCCGGAAAGAAAUCGCGCUGGUUAAUACCUGGCGUGGAUGACGGUACCGGAAGAAUAAGCAC